AGUGAACGCUGGCGGUAGGCCUAACACAUGCCAGUCGAACGGCAGCACAGUAAGAGCUUGCUCUUACGGGUGGCGAGUGGCGGACGGGUGAGGAAUACAUCGGAAUCUACUUUUUCGUGGGGGAUAACGUAGGGAAACUUACGCUAAUACCGCAUACGACCUACGGGUGAAAGCAGGGGAUCUUCGGACCUUGCGCGAUUGAAUGAGCCGAUGUCGGAUUAGCUAGUUGGCGGGGUAAAGGCCCACCAAGGCGACGAUCCGUAGCUGGUCUGAGAGGAUGAUCAGCCACACUGGAACUGAGACACGGUCCAGACUCCUACGGGAGGCAGCAGUGGGGAAUAUUGGACAAUGGGCGCAAGCAUGAUACAGCCAUACCGCGUGGGUGAAGAAGGCCUUCGGGUUGUAAAGCCCUUUUGUUGGGAAAGAAAAGCAGCAGGUUAAUACCCCGCUGUUCUGACGGUACCCAAAGAAUAAGCACCGGCUAACUUCGUG
Molecule: ribosomal RNA, 492 nt
Filed under: uncultured bacterium
Lineage: Bacteria
Description: partial 16S ribosomal RNA
Rfam family: Bacterial small subunit ribosomal RNA
Source: RNAcentral